This 254-nucleotide ribosomal RNA is filed under the name uncultured bacterium. RNAcentral's name for it is "partial 16S ribosomal RNA". It matches the Rfam family "Bacterial small subunit ribosomal RNA", at positions 524 to 776 of the family's 1533-position model. The record is from RNAcentral.
UACGUAGGGUGCAAGCGUUAUCCGGAAUUAUUGGGCGUAAAGAGCUCGUAGGCGGUUUGUCGCGUCUGCUGUGAAAACUGGGGGCUCAACCCCCCAGCCUGCAGUGGGUACGGGCAGACUAGAGUGCGGUAGGGGAGAUUGGAAUUCCUGGUGUAGCGGUGGAAUGCGCAGAUAUCAGGAGGAACACCGAUGGCGAAGGCAGAUCUCUGGGCCGUAACUGACGCUGAGGAGCGAAAGCAUGGGGAGCGAACAGG